GCUCCGGUGGUGUAGUCCGGUCAAGCAUGUCGGCCUUUCGAGCCGUAGAUCCCGGGUUCAAAUCCCGGCCGGAGCA
Molecule: transfer RNA, 76 nt
Filed under: Candidatus Bathyarchaeota archaeon
Lineage: Archaea; Thermoproteati; Candidatus Bathyarchaeota
Also listed under: 2 other names
Description: tRNA-Glu
Rfam family: tRNA
About the family: Transfer RNA (tRNA) molecules are approximately 80 nucleotides in length. Their secondary structure includes four short double-helical elements and three loops (D, anti-codon, and T loops).
Source: RNAcentral